This 429-nucleotide ribosomal RNA is filed under the name Pseudomonadota bacterium. RNAcentral's name for it is "Proteobacteria bacterium partial 16S ribosomal RNA". It matches the Rfam family "Bacterial small subunit ribosomal RNA", at positions 355 to 776 of the family's 1533-position model. The record is from RNAcentral. Lineage: Bacteria; Pseudomonadati; Pseudomonadota.
UGGAGAAUAUUGGACAAUGGGCGAAAGCCUGAUCCAGCCAUGCCGCGUGUGUGAAGAAGGUCUUCGGAUUGUAAAGCACUUUAAGUUGGGAGGAAGGGCAGUAAGCGAAUACCUUGCUGUUUUGACGUUACCGACAGAAUAAGCACCGGCUAACUCUGUGCCAGCAGCCGCGGUAAUACAGAGGGUGCGAGCGUUAAUCGGAUUUACUGGGCGUAAAGCGUGCGUAGGCGGCUAAUUGAGUCGGAUGUGAAAUCCCCGAGCUUAACUUGGGAAUUGCCUUCGUUACUGGUUAGCUAAGGUGUGGGGGAGGAUGGUAGAAUUCCAGGUGUAGCGGUGAAAUGCGUAGAGAUCUGGAGGAAUACCGAUGGCGAAGGCAGCCAUCUGGCCUAACACUGACGCUGAGAUACGAAAGCAUGAGGGGCAAACAGG